AGCAAAAAAGGUGGAAGGAAAUUUGGACUGCAAACAUGCCAGGUCCAAUAAUCCCUAGAGAGGAGGGGUGCAGAUGGAAGAAAAGGUGAUACCGUCGAACCGUGGGCCUCGUAUCCAACGGAUUUCCCUGACCCAAACUUCUUGAAAUAGGUCAAGCAUGGCGCCUCUAACACAGAUGGGAGAUGAACGAGAGAAGACUGCAGAACGGCGAGUGGCGCUUUAUCCUUGGACUGCCUUUUGCAUUUUGGAGCUCAUCGCCGUCGUCACGCACAUCGCCAUGGCACGUCUCGUCCUCGGGUUCAGCUCUUCUUCAUCACUUGAACAUGUAUCAUUGGGGAACUGAAAAAGCUCGUCGAAGAAACGCGAACACCUCCGUAUUGACGUCUUUUCCACAUCAUCCGCCACAACUUUAAAGGUUCGCCAUCCAAACCACUUCAUCGUCGCUAACCCAUAAACAGAAGGAAAACAAAGGUUGAAGACGACUUGAAACUUACCAGAUCAAACAGGUUCCUUCCAUUUUGAUUGCUGUACUUUUUCCAUUUCAAAAACUUGCUUCUGAAAUGAAUCUUCUGAUAUGGAUUGUACUCUUCAAUGCCGUAUUUGAGGUAGCAUUGGCUAGUUUUGAGCUUCCACACUGAAAUGUUGAAUGAAGAUUGGCGUUCACGGUGGGAAAGAUGCGAUUGGAAGUGGAAGAAAGGAUCUGCAGAAGCGAAUUCAGAAAGUUCUGGUUUUUGGAAGCUAGAGAUUGAACCUGGAAUUCUGUUGAAGAUCACUUUUCGGGCCAGUGAUUCCAGAGCAUGAAGUGAAGUGUUUCAUGGAAGAGAAAAGCUUGAUCUUUGAAGAUUGCAUGAAGUCAGGAAAGCAUGAAGAUGUGGAUGUCUUAGAACUUAAUCUAGAAUAUUAGGACUUGUUUGAAUCUUGAGAUGGAUUUGUAUUGGUAGGAUCACGUGGUUAUGCUUUAGAGUUUAGUACAUGUGAGAAAUGGUUUUGAAUUAUUUAUUAUGUAAUGAGGUAUAGCUUGAAUUUUGUUCAUGGGAUUCAAAUUGUAAAUGGAAGCAAAUAUUGAAUAUUGUAAAGUGAAUGGAAUUGGUCUUAUGGACUUGUUUUUGAAA
Long non-coding RNA from Lathyrus oleraceus (garden pea), 1112 nucleotides. RefSeq lists it as uncharacterized. The record is from RefSeq and is a predicted model, not a curated record. The transcript is spliced from 2 exons. Lineage: Eukaryota; Viridiplantae; Streptophyta; Magnoliopsida; Fabales; Fabaceae.